Molecule: ribosomal RNA, 492 nt
Filed under: uncultured bacterium
Lineage: Bacteria
Description: partial 16S ribosomal RNA
Rfam family: Bacterial small subunit ribosomal RNA
Source: RNAcentral
AGUGAACGCUGGCGGUAGGCCUAACACGUGCGAGUCGAACGGCAGCACAGUAAGAGCUUGCUCUUACGGGUGGCGAGUGGCGGACGGGUGAGGAAUACAUCGGAAUCUACUUUUUCGUGGGGGAUAACGUAGGGAAACUUACGCUAAUACCGCAUACGACCUACGGGUGAAAGCAGGGGAUCUUCGGACCUUGCGCGAUUGAAUGAGCCGAUGUCGGACUAGCUAGUUGGCGGGGUAAAGGCCCACCAAGGCGACGAUCCGUAGCUGGUCUGAGAGGAUGAUCAGCCACACUGGAACUGAGACACGGUCCAGACUCCUACGGGAGGCAGCAGUGGGGAAUAUUGGACAAUGGGCGCAAGCCUGAUCCAGCCAUACCGCGUGGGUGAAGAAGGCCUUCGGGUUGUAAAGCCCUUUUGUUGGGAAAGAAAAGCAGCAGGUUAAUACCCCGCUGUUCUGACGGUACCCAAAGAAUAAGCACCGGCUAACUUCGUG